AGAUGCGAUCAUACUAGCAUUAAUGCACCGGAUCCCAUCAGAACUCUAAAGGUAAGCGUUCUUGGGCGAGAGUAGUACUAGGAUGGGUGACCUCCCGGAACGUCCACGUGUUGCAUCCC
This 119-nucleotide ribosomal RNA is filed under the name Arabidopsis thaliana (thale cress). Lineage: Eukaryota; Viridiplantae; Streptophyta; Magnoliopsida; Brassicales; Brassicaceae. The record is from RNAcentral.